Molecule: long non-coding RNA, 1214 nt
Organism: Pyrus x bretschneideri (Chinese white pear)
Lineage: Eukaryota; Viridiplantae; Streptophyta; Magnoliopsida; Rosales; Rosaceae
Exons: 7
Source: RefSeq, a predicted model, not a curated record
ACAGCAAUGCAUGUUCCUUUUCCAUUCGUCACUGGAUGGCCCUCUGGCAGUCCUUUAUAGAUUUUUGGAUUACUUAAGCAAAUUUGACUGGGAGAACUAUUGUAUAAGUUUAAAUGGACCAGUAUGCAAAUCAUCCUUGCCUGAUAUAGUGGGUAAGAGAUAUUAUUGUGUGCUUUUAAUAGAUCCACUAAAUCAACCUUGGGCGAAGUGUCAGCAGAAGUAUGCAUUCUCCCUAAAGUCUAUUGUCCACUUUAAUAAUCGUUCGUUGUUUGCCUUUUUGCACAGAUUGAUUGUCGUGUUUUUGAAAAUUUCAGCUGUUUAAGGUAAGCAAUUUAAAUUUUUUAAUUAUUGAGUUUUAAAUUUUAGGCUCUUUAUAGUAUAUGUGAUAUAUAUUUGCUUAGUCUCGUAUUCUGUGUUUCUUAAUGCUUCUUUUUCUCAUUUUUGGUUUUUGUCCAGUGUGGUUUGCCCUAAUUUCCACCUUUUAAAAUGAAACAAUCAAAUUAUAAAGUUUACUUAUAUUUUACAAGUUGAAUGCAAAAGUCAUAACAUCAAAUGUUAACAUAAAAGAUGACUUCUGGCGAGAGACCAGUCCAAAAGGCCAAGGCUGAGAGAACUUAUUAGGAUGAGAAAAAGAAAGAUUUGUUUGAAAACUUGCGGAAGAAACAAUGAGGCGGUUGAAGUGCAGAAAGAAGGUUUACAUUAAUGCUACUAGGCUAGAUCACUCUCUGAAAUUUUCAGUUCGAGGCGAUUGGAGCUGAAUAUGGAUAAGUUUUUGAGACUUUUAGACUUUUUGGACCUCUCAAGAUUGAUGUGGCCAUCUCCGACAUCUCCGUCACCUUUUAGGCUAUUUUUCGACCAUCUCCGUCAACCAUUGGGCUUCCAAAUAGAAAUGGCAAGUGGAAGUUCAACGAAAGGUACUAUGUUGCCUCAUAGGCCGCCUAAGCGUUGAGCUUGAGGGCUUGAAGAGAAAAGUGCGUGUAAGACAUGAAACCUUGAAGGACUUUGUUAUGAUUUUAGUUAAGUGGAAUAUUUUUUUAAAGUUUGAACUUUGUUAUGUUUAUUUUAGGUGUGGAUAUUUGAAAUGUGAUGUUUAUUUUAAAUUUGGACUUUUGAAGACUUAAACUUUGAAAUUUUUUUUUCAAAUAUUUUUUUUUUUUUUAAGUUUGGAUUUUGGAAGACUUCAUUGAUGAUUCUAGUUGAACUUUAAAUGUUUA